UACAGAGGGUGCAAGCGUUAAUCGGAAUUACUGGGCGUAAAGCAUGCGCAGUCGGUUAUUCAAGUCGGGCGUGAAAGCCCCGGGCUCAACCUGGGAAUUGCGUUCGAUACUGUCUAGCUAGAGUUCGGCAGAGGGAAGUGGAAUUUCAGGUGUAGCGGUGAAAUGCGUAGAUAUCCGAAGGAACAUCAGUGGCGAAAGCGGCUUCCUGGACCAGAACUGACGAUCAGGCACGAAAGCGUGGGGAGCAAACAGG
Molecule: ribosomal RNA, 253 nt
Filed under: uncultured bacterium
Lineage: Bacteria
Description: partial 16S ribosomal RNA
Rfam family: Bacterial small subunit ribosomal RNA
Source: RNAcentral